CGUAGGCGGCAAGCGUUGUCCGGAUUUAUUGGGUUUAAAGGGUGCGUAGGCGGCUUUGUAAGUCAGUGGUGAAAUACUCCAGCUCAACUGGAGAGGUGCCAUUGAUACUGCAGAGCUAGAGUACUGAUGAGGUAGGCGGAAUGGACGGUGUAGCGGUGAAAUGCUUAGAUAUCGUCCAGAACACCGAUAGCGAAGGCAGCUUACUAAAGAGUAACUGACGCUGAGGCACGAAAGUGUGGGGAUCAAACAGGAUUAGAUACCCUGGUAGUCCACACUGUAAACGUUGAUCACUAGAUGUUGGCGAUACACUGUCAGCGUUCCAGCAAAAGCGAUAAGUGAUCCACCUGGGGAGUACGCCCGCAAGGGUG
This 368-nucleotide ribosomal RNA is filed under the name uncultured organism. RNAcentral's name for it is "bacterial SSU rRNA". It matches the Rfam family "Bacterial small subunit ribosomal RNA", at positions 526 to 896 of the family's 1533-position model. The record is from RNAcentral.